UACGUAGGGGGCAAGCGUUGUCCGGAUUUAUUGGGCGUAAAGAGCGUGUAGGCGGCUAGGUAGGUCCGUUGUGAAAACUCGAGCUCAACCUCGAGACGCCGGUGGAAACCAUCUAGCUAGAGUCCGGAAGAGGAGAGUGGAAUUCCUGGUGUAGCGGUGAAAUGCGCAGAUAUCAGGAAGAACACCCGUGGCGAAGGCGGCUCUCUGGGACGUGACUGACGCUGAGACGCGAAAGCGUGGGGAGCGAACUGG
This 252-nucleotide ribosomal RNA is filed under the name uncultured bacterium. Its description in RNAcentral is "partial 16S ribosomal RNA". It matches the Rfam family "Bacterial small subunit ribosomal RNA", at positions 524 to 776 of the family's 1533-position model. The record is from RNAcentral.